GCAUAUCAAUAAGCGGAGGAAAAGAAACUAACAAGGAUUCCCCUAGUAGCGGCGAGCGAAGCGGGAAGAGCUCAAAUUUAUAAUCUGGCACCUUCGGUGUCCGAGUUGUAAUCUCUAGAAAUGUUUUCCGCGUUGGACCGCACACAAGUCUGUUGGAAUACAGCGGCAUAGUGGUGAGACCCCCGUAUAUGGUGCGGACGCCCAGCGCUUUGUGAUACAUUUUCGAAGAGUCGAGUUGUUUGGGAAUGCAGCUCAAAUUGGGUGGUAAAUUCCAUCUAAAGCUAAAUAUUGGCGAGAGACCGAUAGCGAACAAGUACCGUGAGGGAAAGAUGAAAAGCACUUUGGAAAGAGAGUUAACAGUACGUGAAAUUGUUGGAAGGGAAACGCUUGAAGUCAGACUUGCUUGCCGAGCAAUCGGUUUGCAGGCCAGCAUCAGUUUUCCGGGAUGGAUAAUGGUAGAGAGAAGGUAGCAGUUUCGGCUGUGUUAUAGCUCUCUGCUGGAUACAUCUUGGGGGACUGAGGAACGCAGUGUGCCUUUGGCGGGGGUUUCGACCUCUUCACACUUAGGAUGCUGGUGGAAUGGCUUUAAACGACCCGUCUUGAAACACGGACCAAGGAGUCUAACAUGCUUGCGAGUAUUUGGGUGUCAAACCCGGAUGCGUAAUGAAAGUGAAUGGAGGUGGGAACCGCAAGGUGCACCAUCGACCGAUCUGGAUUUUUAAUGAUGGAUUUGAGUAAGAGCACGUAUGUUGGGACCCGAAAGAUGGUGAACUAUGCCUGAAUAGGGCGAAGCCAGAGGAAACUCUGGUGGAGGCUCGUAGCGGUUCUGACGUGCAAAUCGAUCGUCAAAUUUGGGUAUAGGGGCGAAAGACUAAUCGAACCAUCUAGUAGCUGGUUCCUGCCGAG
This 906-nucleotide ribosomal RNA is filed under the name Rhodotorula mucilaginosa. RNAcentral's name for it is "LSU rRNA". It matches the Rfam family "Eukaryotic large subunit ribosomal RNA", at positions 38 to 965 of the family's 3401-position model. Lineage: Eukaryota; Fungi; Basidiomycota; Microbotryomycetes; Sporidiobolales; Sporidiobolaceae. The record is from RNAcentral.